RNAcentral lists this long non-coding RNA (476 nucleotides) under Olea europaea subsp. europaea. Lineage: Eukaryota; Viridiplantae; Streptophyta; Magnoliopsida; Lamiales; Oleaceae. The record is from RNAcentral.
AUUCGACAUGUCCUCGGGGUUUUGUCCUCGGGAUUAUGACCUACGACAGCGCCUUAUCCAACGAGAGAUUUAUUCUGACUAAAAAUCCUCAAUUCAUGUCUCCUAUGCCUAGAAGAACUCUAUUGGUAUCACAGUUAUACCUCAAUUCAAACUCCUAUCUCGCGUAGGACUCAUUGGUGUAAGAUUGCAAAAUCAAGCUAUCCUACUACAGGUGCAACACGGAAUCCUAAUAUGAACACACCACCUACCUCUAUAAAUACAGAACCUUAGGCCAUUAUUCAGGUACGUUUUUUCAUUGUUCCUCAGCACAUAGCCUCACGCAUAUAUUUCCCUUUCUGACUUAAGCAUCGGAGGGGCGACGAGAACACACCUCGUUGCCUUUGUUUCAGGUAUCGGAAGAUCACGUUCGUGCUCCUCACCAGUCAUCAAGCUCGGGAAAUCUACAGGUACGAUUUUUGGUAGCAUCAUUGACGCCG